GAUGAACGCUGGCGGCGUGCCUAAUACAUGCAAGUCGAGCGAACAGACGAUGAGCUUGCUCCUCUGACGUUAGCGGCGGACGGGUGAGUAACACGUGGAUAACCUACCUAUAAGACUGGGAUAACUUCGGGAAACCGGAGCUAAUACCGUAUAAUAUAUUGAACCGCAUGGUUCAAUAGUGAAAGUCGGUUUUGCUGUCACUUAUAGAUGGAUCCGCGCCGCAUUAGCUAGUUGGUAAGGUAACGGCUUACCAAGGCGACGAUGCGUAGCCGACCUGAGAGGGUGAUCGGCCACACUGGAACUGAGACACGGUCCAGACUCCUACGGGAGGCAGCAGUAGGGAAUCUUCCGCAAUGGGCGAAAGCCUGACGGAGCAACGCCGCGUGAGUGAUGAAGGUCUUCGGAUCGUAAAACUCUGUUAUUAGGGAAGAACAAAUGUGUAAGUAACUAUGCACGUCUUGACGGUACCUAAUCAGAAAGCCACGGCUAACUACGUG
Molecule: ribosomal RNA, 497 nt
Filed under: uncultured bacterium
Lineage: Bacteria
Description: partial 16S ribosomal RNA
Rfam family: Bacterial small subunit ribosomal RNA
Source: RNAcentral